GGUUCGAUGGCGUAGUUGGUUAUCGCAUCUGUCUAACACACAGAAGGUCCCCGGUUCGAGCCCGGGUCGAACCA
Non-coding RNA from Lactarius quietus, 74 nucleotides. Lineage: Eukaryota; Fungi; Basidiomycota; Agaricomycetes; Russulales; Russulaceae. The record is from the annotation of a GenBank genome assembly.